GGUUAAAUGAAGAAGGGCGCACGGUGAAUGCCUUGGCACUAGGAGCCGAUGAAGGACGCGACGAACAGCGAUAUGCUUCGGGGAGUUGUAAGUACACAUUGAUCCGAAGAUUUCCGAAUGGGGAAACCCACUGCUUUUCACAGAGCAGUGCUGUAUGGUGAAUACAUAGCCAUAUAGCGGCAGACCCGGAGAACUGAAACAUCUUAGUACCCGGAGGAAGAGAAAGCAAACGCGAUUUCCUGAGUAGCGGCGAGCGAAACGGAACAUAGCCCAAACCAAGUGGCUUGCCACUUGGGGUUGUAGGACACUCUAUACGGAGUUACAAAGAAGCGAGAUAGAUGAAGCGACCUGGAACGGUCCAUCGAAGAAGGUAAGAAUCCUGUAAUCGACAUUUCGUUUCCUCUUGAGUGGAUCCUGAGUACGGCGGGACACGAGAAAUCCCGUCGGAAGCAGGGAGGACCAUCUCCCAAGGCUAAAUACUCCCUAGUGACCGAUAGUGAACCAGUACCGUGAGGGAAAGGUGAAAAGCACCCCGGGAGGGGAGUGAAAUAGAUCCUGAAACCGUGUGCC
This 570-nucleotide non-coding RNA is filed under the name Geomicrobium sp. JCM 19039. RNAcentral describes it as "Bacterial large subunit ribosomal RNA". It matches the Rfam family "Bacterial large subunit ribosomal RNA", at positions 1 to 564 of the family's 2925-position model. Lineage: Bacteria; Bacillati; Bacillota; Bacilli; Caryophanales. The record is from Rfam by way of RNAcentral.